CCUAACAUUAAUGCCACAACAACAACUUUAGUACCUCAUUUCCUAGUGCUUAUAGCUACUUGAUCAUCAAUAGCCUACUCCAUUAAGCUAGCUCUAAUUGGCAAUGGCAGUCUCAUCUGCAAUGCAAUCCAUCUUAGUAAGACCAACUUUGAAUCGUGUAGUUUCAAACAGAUCUACUAAUAGGGUGAACCAGUUUCUAAUUCCCACUAGUUAUGUGCCACAUUUGCCCAGAUAUACUAGUAUGCGAGUUCGUUGCAUGGCAGAGGAGGACCAGCAGGAGCAGCCAAAGCCUGUAACAACUUCACCUUCACCACCUCAGCCCCAACAAACCCCUCGUCCUGCACCCAAGGUAUACCUACCCUUAACCCAAAAGAUACUUCUUUCUUUGUUUUUUUGAGUUAGAAACCCUAAUUAUAUAUGACUAUUUACCAAAUAGUUUAAGCACACAAAAUUAUUCAUGAACUUUUUUGACCUCGCUCAGCAAAUUAUAAUUAAAGCAAAAUUGAUUUCACAUAAAUUUGUUAUUGAUCCUAACUCUAUUAUACACAACUUAAAAUAUCUCACCUUGAUUUUGUGAAAAAAUUGUGCCUAAUUUAUACAUUUUAAACUUUUUAAGUAAUGUCAGAGACUUAAUUAUAACCGUUAAGGUAUCUCUUCAACUAAGAAGUAGAGAUAAGUCUUCAGGUAUAGGUAGGCUACAACAUGCGUGAUUCUUUAAAUACUAAGAUAAAAUACAGCAUUCCCUAAAAUUAAA
Quercus lobata is the source of this 754-nucleotide long non-coding RNA. RefSeq lists it as uncharacterized. NCBI's taxonomy places the organism in Eukaryota, Viridiplantae, Streptophyta, Magnoliopsida, Fagales, Fagaceae. The transcript has 2 exons. The record is from RefSeq and is a predicted model, not a curated record.